AUAGCAUAUCAAUAAGCGGAGGAAAAGAAACCAACAGGGAUUACCUCAGUAACGGCGAGUGAAGCGGUAACAGCUCAAAUUUGAAAUCUGGCCUCACGGUCCGAGUUGUAAUUUGUAGAGGAUGCUUCGAGCAUGGUCUGGCCUAAGUUCCUUGGAACAGGACGUCAUAGAGGGUGAGAAUCCCGUAUGCGGCCAGGUGCCUACGCUCAUGUGAAGCUCCUUCGACGAGUCGAGUUGUUUGGGAAUGCAGCUCAAAAUGGGUGGUAAAUUUCAUCUAAAGCUAAAUAUUGGCCAGAGACCGAUAGCGCACAAGUAGAGUGAUCGAAAGAUGAAAAGCACUUUGGAAAGAGAGUUAAACAGUACGUGAAAUUGUUGAAAGGGAAGCGCUUGCAACCAGACUUGCGCGCGGCCGAUCAUCCGGUGUUCUCACCGGUGCACUCGGCCGUGCUCAGGCCAGCAUCGGUUUUGGCGGCUGGAUAAAGGCCCUAGGAAUGUGGCUCCUCUCGGGGAGUGUUAUAGCCUAGGGUGCAAUGCAGCCUGCUGGGACCGAGGACCGCGCUUCGGCUAGGAUGCUGGCGUAAUGGUUGUAAGCGGCCCGUCUUGAAACACGGACCAAGGAGUCUAACAUCUAUGCGAGUGUUUGGGUGUCAAACCCAUACGCGUAAUGAAAGUGAACGGAGGUGAGAACCCUUAAGGGUGCAUCAUCGACCGGUCCUGAAGUUUACGGAAGGAUCUGAGUAAGAGCAUAGCUGUUGGGACCCGAAAGAUGGUGAACUAUGCCUGAAUAGGGUGAAGCCAGAGGAAACUCUGGUGGAGGCUCGCAGCGGUUCUGACGUGCAAAUCGAUCGUCAAAUUUGGGUAUAGGGGCGAAAGACUAAUCGAACCAUCUAGUAGCUGGUUCCUGCCGAAU
Molecule: ribosomal RNA, 910 nt
Filed under: Pseudogymnoascus roseus
Lineage: Eukaryota; Fungi; Ascomycota; Leotiomycetes; Thelebolales; Thelebolaceae
Description: LSU rRNA
Rfam family: Eukaryotic large subunit ribosomal RNA
Source: RNAcentral